UUUCCGUAGGUGAACCUGCGGAAGGAUCAUUAGUGAAUAUUAGGGCGUCUACUUCGGUAGGGCCUGACCUCCACUUUCUAACUCUGUGCACUUAUUUGGCGGAAAAGGGUAUUAGUAAUCUGUCUUAUGACGAUUGCGACUUCUUACUUUCUGCGGCUUACUAUAAACCCUAUUCACAGUAUGUGACGAAAUAUCGAAACAAAUAAAAACUUUCAACAACGGAUCUCUUGGCUCUC
Molecule: unclassified non-coding RNA, 236 nt
Filed under: plant metagenome
Description: partial contains small subunit ribosomal RNA, internal transcribed spacer 1, and 5.8S ribosomal RNA
Source: RNAcentral